This 332-nucleotide unclassified non-coding RNA is filed under the name soil metagenome. RNAcentral's name for it is "partial contains 5.8S ribosomal RNA, internal transcribed spacer 2, and large subunit ribosomal RNA". The stretch from base 1 to 120 matches the Rfam family "5.8S ribosomal RNA", at positions 35 to 154 of the family's 154-position model. The record is from RNAcentral.
GAUGAAGAACGUAGCGAAAUGCGAUAAGUAGUGUGAAUUGCAGAAUUCAGUGAAUCAUCGAAUCUUUGAACGCACAUUGCGCCCGCUAGUAUUCUGGCGGGCAUGCCUGUUCGAGCGUCAUUUCAACCAUCAAGCCCUGUUUAGGCUUGCGUUGGGGCCCUGCGGCUGCCGCAGCCCCCUAAAUGCAGUGGCGGGCUCGUUGUCACUCCGAGCGCAGUAGCGUAUCUCGCUCUGGGCGUGGCGGCGGGUGCUAGCCGUGAAACACCCACUAAGGUUGACCUCGGAUCAGGUAGGAAUACCCGCUGAACUUAAGCAUAUCAAUAAGCGGAGGA